RNAcentral lists this ribosomal RNA (1310 nucleotides) under Latilactobacillus sakei. RNAcentral's name for it is "bacterial SSU rRNA". It matches the Rfam family "Bacterial small subunit ribosomal RNA", at positions 34 to 1286 of the family's 1533-position model. Lineage: Bacteria; Bacillati; Bacillota; Bacilli; Lactobacillales; Lactobacillaceae. The record is from RNAcentral.
AGGGGGGGGUUGGCCUUAUUAAUUGCAAGUCGAACGCACUCUCGUUUAGAUUGAAGGAGCUUGCUCCUGAUUGAUAAACAUUUGAGUGAGUGGCGGACGGGUGAGUAACACGUGGGUAACCUGCCCUAAAGUGGGGGAUAACAUUUGGAAACAGAUGCUAAUACCGCAUAAAACCUAACACCGCAUGGUGUAGGGUUGAAAGAUGGUUUCGGCUAUCACUUUAGGAUGGACCCGCGGUGCAUUAGUUAGUUGGUGAGGUAAAGGCUCACCAAGACCGUGAUGCAUAGCCGACCUGAGAGGGUAAUCGGCCACACUGGGACUGAGACACGGCCCAGACUCCUACGGGAGGCAGCAGUAGGGAAUCUUCCACAAUGGACGAAAGUCUGAUGGAGCAACGCCGCGUGAGUGAAGAAGGUUUUCGGAUCGUAAAACUCUGUUGUUGGAGAAGAAUGUAUCUGAUAGUAACUGAUCAGGUAGUGACGGUAUCCAACCAGAAAGCCACGGCUAACUACGUGCCAGCAGCCGCGGUAAUACGUAGGUGGCAAGCGUUGUCCGGAUUUAUUGGGCGUAAAGCGAGCGCAGGCGGUUUCUUAAGUCUGAUGUGAAAGCCUUCGGCUCAACCGAAGAAGUGCAUCGGAAACUGGGAAACUUGAGUGCAGAAGAGGACAGUGGAACUCCAUGUGUAGCGGUGAAAUGCGUAGAUAUAUGGAAGAACACCAGUGGCGAAGGCGGCUGUCUGGUCUGUAACUGACGCUGAGGCUCGAAAGCAUGGGUAGCAAACAGGAUUAGAUACCCUGGUAGUCCAUGCCGUAAACGAUGAGUGCUAGGUGUUGGAGGGUUUCCGCCCUUCAGUGCCGCAGCUAACGCAUUAAGCACUCCGCCUGGGGAGUACGACCGCAAGGUUGAAACUCAAAGGAAUUGACGGGGGCCCGCACAAGCGGUGGAGCAUGUGGUUUAAUUCGAAGCAACGCGAAGAACCUUACCAGGUCUUGACAUCCUUUGACCACUCUAGAGAUAGAGCUUUCCCUUCGGGGACAAAGUGACAGGUGGUGCAUGGUUGUCGUCAGCUCGUGUCGUGAGAUGUUGGGUUAAGUCCCGCAACGAGCGCAACCCUUAUUACUAGUUGCCAGCAUUUAAUUUGGGGCACUCUAGUGAGAACUGCCGGUGAAAAACCGGAAGGAAGGUGGGGACAACGUCAAAUCAUCAUGCCCCCUUAUGAACCUGGGGCUAACCCCGUGGCCCCAAGGGGAUGGGGACAAAAAUUUGGCAAAAACCCCCGGGGUUAUAUUAAAUUCUUUUAAAAACCAUUU